Molecule: unclassified non-coding RNA, 262 nt
Filed under: plant metagenome
Description: partial contains small subunit ribosomal RNA and internal transcribed spacer 1
Rfam family: Eukaryotic small subunit ribosomal RNA (bases 1-46)
Source: RNAcentral
AAGUCGUAACAAGGUCUCCGUUGGUGAACCAGCGGAGGGAUCAUUACUGAGUUCUACAAAAACUCCCAACCCUUUGUGAACCUUACCGUCGUUGCCUCGGCGCUGAGCGGCGGCUACCCGGGAGAAGCUACCCGGGAGCCACCUACCCUGUAGGUGGCUACCCUGGAGCUACCCUGUAGUUGCACUUUACGUUCCGCCGGCGGACCACACAAACUCUUCUGUAUCAUGGUGUAUCUCUGAAUACGUAACAAAAUGAGUUAAA